RNAcentral lists this non-coding RNA (413 nucleotides) under Periphylla periphylla. The record is from RNAcentral. Lineage: Eukaryota; Metazoa; Cnidaria; Scyphozoa; Coronatae; Periphyllidae.
AUGGCAGAAGUUGGUGCUUGCAGUGUCUUUCAUAGAGAUGCUGUAUACCUAACCCUAGUGUCGGUAGGUAUUCAUCGCAGUGAUGUCUGUCUGCCGCAACACCAUCUUCAUUGCACUAUAUGUGGUUGUUUUUUGUUAUGUUUUUCCCACAUAGAGGAAUGGUGAAAUCAAGAAAACAUGCCGCCAUCUUUGCCAUUAUUGACCUUCAGUUGAGACUUGAGUUCACUUUACGGGCCCAAAAUUGUUAAAGCUCCCUGCAUGGCUGGGCCUGGUGAAUAUAGUCGGGAUGUUGCUUUAACUUGUGUGCAAAACUUCAAUUCUGACUUUUUCAGGCUUUGGAGUUAAGGAUUUUGUCCUGCGUUGUGCACAGGUCAAUGAAAGUGAUGUCCAUCCUGUAUUCUCAUGCUGGAGUC